Molecule: long non-coding RNA, 584 nt
Filed under: Salmo salar (Atlantic salmon)
Lineage: Eukaryota; Metazoa; Chordata; Actinopteri; Salmoniformes; Salmonidae
Description: lncRNA (ENSSSAG00000107559.1)
Source: RNAcentral
GCCUGGUGACAAAGAGAUUGGAUAUGCGCAUUCACGCGACCACGCUGUUUUUUGUUUUCCUCUUUGAAUGAAUACACUAUUGUCCGGUUGGAAUAUUAUCGCUAUUUUAUGAAAAAAUGUGAUUUUAAAUAGCGUUUGACAUGUUUCUAAGUUCGGUAAUGGAACAUUUUGAAUUUUUUUUGUCUUUGGAUAGUGACCUGUACGCACGUACAAAACGGAGGUAUUUGGACAUAACUAUGGAUUAUUUGGAACAAAAACAACAUUUCUUGUGGAAGUAGCGGUCCUGGGGGUGCAUUCUGAUGAAAAUCAGCAAAGGAGUGUCAUCUGAUGAAGAUCAUCAAAGGCCGGUGGUAGCUGGUCUGCUGCAGGAAGAUGAGGUACUGGAGGUCCCUCCGCCCCCCCCUGGACAUCGAGGGGCCCCCGGCAUAUACAGUCCGGUCCAUCUUGGACUCCAGGCACCAGGUGUGGGGUCUGCAGUACCACGUGGACUGGGAGGGGUACGGCCCUGAGGAGAAAUGCUGGGUACCGGUGGGGGACAUAUUGGACCCUACGCUCAUCCAGGACUUCCACCGCCUCCAUCCGGA